UUCUCUUUCUAGUCACAAUUCGCUGCUGGCCUUCUCCCGCGAUACCACCACACUCCUCUUUCACCUUUAUUUCAUUAUUAUUUUCUAUUGCAGGCAGCAGGCGCAGCAGUAAGAAAAUCGCGUUUUUUUAGUAGUACAUUUAACGAGAUAUACUUACGACGGUCGGUGUAUGUGCGGUGCGGUGUGGUGUAAAGUAACAGGUGUUUUUCUAUUCGGAUUUUUAUUUUUUUUUUUGGGGGAAUUUUGAAAGUGCCAAUGAUGACCGAGACGGUGGUGAAUGUCCAGGAAGCGCCGAAUAAUAAUGCCGCCCCUAAUAAGCCGCAGAGGGGGAACGAGCAGGCCCUUUCUUGGAUUAAAAUCAACAUUGAUUACUUUAAGACUACGCCUGGAUUGUUGAAAGUUGCCGAGUUCAUAUUGGGUAUAUUUUGUAUGGGGUUGGCCUCACCUGCUUUCGGUGGAGGAUCACACUUCUUCCUGUUCGUAGUUACAGUCAGCUUCAUCGGAACGAUCAUCUGGAUCUUUAUUUAUUUGUUGGGUAUUAGGGAGGCGCUCACUUUCCCUAUUAAUUGGAUUCUUACGGAAUUAGUGAAUACGGGCCUAGUAACAGUGGGCUACUUCAUCGGAUUCAUUCUUCAGCUGAUCACUUCUGCAGGACUCCACUACUCUUAUUAUCGCCGAGGGGCGCAUAUCACUGCUGGGGUUUUCGGCCUUUUUAACUUCCUAGUGUAUGGAUUUGCCACCUAUCUGUUACACCUUGAAUGGAAAGGCAGCAGGACGAAUCAAUGAGAUCUUUAGUUGUUAAAAAUGAGGUUAUGCUGAUGACUAAAUUAGGACUGUUUAGCUUUAAGAUCGUACCUACACAUGCUGUAGAUAUACAACAAACAAAAAUAAGUGCCUUUUGCAGCAGUUCAUUUAUUAUUAGUUACGUAAUUAUUUAUAAAUUAUAUUAUUUGUUAUAUGGUUUGUGAAAGUAUUAACAAAGGCACAUAAUCAGUUUAUGGCUUUAUAUAUUUUUUAGAGUUAGAAAUGGUUUCAAUGCAAUAAAAUUAAAAUUUUUAUAUAAAUAGUUGUAUAAAAGUACCGCCUUUGGGCGGUUUUUUUAUUCAACUAGCGAUACAUCACGUCAUGAAGAAUAUGACAUCAAACAUUUGUUUAAUGAUAAUAAUAAUAAAAUAAAAAGUUUUAUACUUUAGACCUUUUUGAAUUCUCCCGGUAGGUCAUUUAAAAAGCAUAAUAAUUAUUUUUCUGAAAUUAUUUAAAAUUUGUUCAACUUGUCAUUUUUAGCAACCAUCUCAAAUUUAUCUGUCAUGUAACCAUUUGUUUCUUAAUAGACAAUUGAUUAGGUAACUGCACGUAGGCAUGAACAUGUUUUGUUUAUCACAAGAUAAUUCAUUUUUUAAAAUUGUUUUAAAUUGAUUAUCUCUCUCAGUAUCUGUCAAUUUCGGCAGCCAUUUUGAAUUUAUAAGUUAAUGCAGUUGUAGAACUUUCAUGUGAAUGUUUGUUUAUUAAUGGACAAUUGAUCAGGUGACUUGUGAUGAUCGACCAUAUUGGUUAGUUUAUUUACGACAGGGGUUAGUCAGAAAGUACUUUUUUACGUUUUUUGCUAGAAACCAAUUCCGUCUAAAUAAAAUAACAAAUUAAAGCAAUUUGAAAUGAUUAUAUUUAUUUUUGGGUGUUAUGAACACGUAUAUUAUGUGCUAAAAAUGAUUUAUUAAUGUUUUAGUGUGUAAGACGUAGGUUAAAUAUAGUUUUACUAGAUUUAUUUAAAUAAAAUAAGUGUUCUUACAAUAGAAAUUUACAAAAAAAAAUUGUUAUACAUAAAUAUAGUUAUUACACCAAUAUAAAUAAAAUAUGUCUUAUAAUAAUAAAUAUUUUUAUUUUUAA
RNAcentral lists this unclassified non-coding RNA (1884 nucleotides) under Anthonomus grandis grandis. RNAcentral's name for it is "cKLF-like MARVEL transmembrane domain-containing protein 4". The record is from RNAcentral. Lineage: Eukaryota; Metazoa; Arthropoda; Insecta; Coleoptera; Curculionidae.